Molecule: ribosomal RNA, 497 nt
Filed under: uncultured bacterium
Lineage: Bacteria
Description: partial 16S ribosomal RNA
Rfam family: Bacterial small subunit ribosomal RNA
Source: RNAcentral
GAUGAACGCUGGCGGCGUGCCUAAUACAUGCAAGUCGAGCGAACGGACGAGAAGCUUGCUUCUCUGAUGUUAGCGGCGGACGGGUGAGUAACACGUGGAUAACCUACCUAUCAGACUGGGAUAACUUCGGGAAACCGGCGCUAAUACCGGAUGAUAUUUUGAACCGCAUGGUUCAAAAGUGAAAGACGGUCUUGCUGUCACUUAUAGAUGGAUCCGCGCUGCAUUAGCUAGUUGGUAAGGUAACGGCUUACCAAGGCAACGAUGCAUAGCCGACCUGAGAGGGUGAUCGGCCACACUGGAACUGAGACACGGUCCAGACUCCUACGGGAGGCAGCAGUAGGGAAUCUUCCGCAAUGGGCGAAAGCCUGACGGAGCAACGCCGCGUGAGUGAUGAAGGUCUUCGGAUCGUAAAACUCUGUUAUUAGGGAAGAACAUACGUGUAAGUAACUGUGCACAUCUUGACGGUACAUAAUCAGAAAGCCACGGCUAACUACGUG